GGCUAUAUAGCUCAGUUGGCUAGAGCACGCGGUUCAUACCCGCGGUGUCGUAGGUUCGAAUCCUACUAUAGCCACCA
RNAcentral lists this transfer RNA (77 nucleotides) under Clostridia bacterium. RNAcentral describes it as "tRNA-Met". It matches the Rfam family "tRNA". Rfam says of the family: Transfer RNA (tRNA) molecules are approximately 80 nucleotides in length. Lineage: Bacteria; Bacillati; Bacillota; Clostridia. The record is from RNAcentral.